AAUAAACUAAAUAAAAUUACAUUUAAAUCCACCUUCAAUAAAAUUUUUCAAUUUCAUAUUCAUUUAAAUAAUUUUAUUGUAAUCCAUUAUAUUCUUAAUUAUAAUCUACAUCUUGAUCUGAAUUAAUUUUUUAUCUAAAUUUUUAAAUAUUAUUUUUUAUAAAAAAUAUUUUUUUAACAACGAUAUAUAAAAUAUUAAAUUAAGUAAAUUUAUUCGUGGAUUAUCAAUUAUUAAACAGAUUCCUCUAAAUGAACUAAAAUACCGCCAUAUUAUUUAAGUUUCAAUAAAUAAUUAUUUACUAUUUUAGUAUUAUAAUUUAAAUUUUUAAUAAUAGGGUAUCUAAU
This 344-nucleotide ribosomal RNA is filed under the name Tirumala septentrionis. RNAcentral describes it as "partial 12S ribosomal RNA". Lineage: Eukaryota; Metazoa; Arthropoda; Insecta; Lepidoptera; Nymphalidae. The record is from RNAcentral.